AGACACCUUCGGGGCAGAGUGAGGGGGGCCACAGCGCCCCCCAAUUCUCGACCGGCGGUAUGGCCCUCACGGGCCGAGCCCGCGAGCGCGUGGCUGAGGAACCAGGUUUCUGCGAGAAAUCGGGUGCGGUAGCCAGGCGCAGAUCCGGUGUGAAGCCGGAGCCGACGGUAUAGUCCGGAUGGAAGAAGGUGCGC
Molecule: non-coding RNA, 194 nt
Filed under: Anaerolineae bacterium
Lineage: Bacteria; Bacillati; Chloroflexota; Anaerolineae
Description: FMN sequence
Rfam family: FMN riboswitch aptamer (RFN element)
About the family: The RFN element is a highly conserved domain that is found frequently in the 5'-untranslated regions of prokaryotic mRNAs that encode for flavin mononucleotide (FMN) biosynthesis and transport proteins.
Source: RNAcentral